UACCCGAUGGUGUAAUGGUAACACAAGGGCUUUUGGUGCCCUUGUUCGAGGUUCGAAUCCUCGUCGGGUAG
This 71-nucleotide transfer RNA is filed under the name Planctomycetia bacterium. RNAcentral describes it as "tRNA-Gln". It matches the Rfam family "tRNA". From Rfam's summary of the family: Transfer RNA (tRNA) molecules are approximately 80 nucleotides in length. Lineage: Bacteria; Pseudomonadati; Planctomycetota; Planctomycetia. The record is from RNAcentral.